AUUGAACGCUGGCGGCAUGCCUUACACAUGCAAGUCGAACGGCAGCGGGGGAGAAGCUUGCUUUUCCUGCCGGCGAGUGGCGAACGGGUGAGUAAUACAUCGGAACGUGCCCUGUAGUGGGGGAUAACUAGUCGAAAGAUUAGCUAAUACCGCAUACGACCUGAGGGUGAAAGUGGGGGACCGCAAGGCCUCAUGCUACAGGAGCGGCCGAUGUCUGAUUAGCCAGUUGGUGGGGUAAAGGCCUACCAAGGCGACGAUCAGUAGCUGGUCUGAGAGGACGAUCAGCCACACUGGGACUGAGACACGGCCCAGACUCCUACGGGAGGCAGCAGUGGGGAAUUUUGGACAAUGGGCGAAAGCCUGAUCCAGCAAUGCCGCGUGUGUGAAGAAGGCCUUCGGGUUGUAAAGCACAUUUGUCCGGAAAGAAAUGGCUCUGGUUAAUACCUGGGGUCGAUGACGGUACCGGAAGAAUAAGGACCGGCUAACUACGUGCCAGCCGCCGCCGUAA
RNAcentral lists this ribosomal RNA (508 nucleotides) under uncultured bacterium. RNAcentral's name for it is "partial 16S ribosomal RNA". It matches the Rfam family "Bacterial small subunit ribosomal RNA", at positions 30 to 523 of the family's 1533-position model. The record is from RNAcentral.